GAGAAAGUAAGCAAGGGCAGACGGUGGAUGCCUUGGCUCUCGGAGGCGACGAAGGACGUGAUAAGCUGCGAAAAGCUCGGGGGAGGCGCAAAUAGCCCUUGAUCCCGGGAUAUCCGAAUGGGGCAACCCGGCAGGCUGAAGGCCUGCCAUCCCGUAAGGGAGGCGAACGUGGGGAACUGAAACAUCUAAGUACCCAUAGGAGGAGAAAAUAAACAAUGAUUCCGUAAGUAGUGGCGAGCGAACACGGAAGAGCCCAAACCCGUGCCGUCUAGGCGACACGGGGGUUGUAGGACCACGACGUGGCAAGAUAGAGUCAAGUGGAACGCCUUGGAAAAGGCGACCGUAGAGGGUGAAAACCCCGUACACGACUGACGAUUGAAGCCUAGUGGCAUCCUGAGUAGCGCGGGGCACGAGAAAUCUUGCGUGAAACUGCGGGGCCCAUCCCGUAAGGCUAAAUACUCCCGAGAGACCGAUAGCGAACCAGUACCGUGAGGGAAAGGUGAAAAGAACCCCGAGCAGGGGAGUGAAAUAGACCCUGAACCCGUCUGCCUACAAGCGGUCGGAGCAUCGUCAAGAUGUGACGGCGUGCCUUUUGCAUAAUGAACCUACGAGUUACCUUCCCCGGCAAGGUUAAGUACCUAAGGUACGGAGCCGAAGCGAAAGCGAGUCUGAAUAGGGCGGCCAGUCGGGGGGGGUAGACGCGAAACCGAGUGAUCUACCCUUGGCCAGGUUGAAGGUUGGGUAACACCAACUGGAGGACCGGAUGGGUAAGCGUUGAAAAGCUUUCCAAUGAGCUGAGGGUAGGGGUGAAAGGCUAAUCAAACUCGGAGAUAGCUCGUACUCCCCGAAAUGCAUUUAGGUGCAGCCUCUUUAUAGUAUAUCGUGAGGUAGAGCGACUGAUUGGAUGCGAGGGCUUCACCGCCUAUCAAGUCCAGAUAAACUCCGAAUGCGCGAUAUAUAUUUACAGGGAGUGAGGGCGCGGGUGCUAAGGUCCGUGUCCGAGAGGAGAAGAAUCCAGACCACCGGCUAAGGCCCCCAAAUGAUCGUUGAGUUGAACUAACGAGGUCGGAUCGCAGAGACAGCUAGGAUGUUGGCUUGGAAGCAGCCAUUCAUUUAAAGAGUGCGUAACAGCUCACUAGUCGAGCGAUCUGGCGUGGAUAAUAAUCGGGCAUAAACGAUCUGCCGAAGCCGUGGAUGUCGUAAGACAUGGUAGGGGAGCAUUCCAUGCGCGUCGAAGAUGAGGGAAGACCCUUGUUGGAGCGCAUGGAAAAGCAAAUGUAGGUAUGAGUAACGAUAAGGGGGGCGAGAAACCCCCCCGCCGAAAGACCAAGGUUUCCUGAUCAACGCUAAUCGGAUCAGGGUGAGUCGGGACCUAAGGCAAAGCCGAACGGCGCCGCCGAUGGAAGAAUGGGUUAAUAUUCCCAUACUGCCUCAUGGAGUGACGUGGAGACGGAGAAGUGACAGUCCUGCCGACUGACGGAAUAGCCGGUUGAAGGGUGUAGAUGUAGAUUCCUGUAGGCAAAUCCGCGGGGAGAGUCGAACCUGAGAGUAUACGGAGCGCUUGCGCAACGUAAUAUGGACGUAACCAUGCUCCCGAGAAAAUCCGCUAAACUUAUCCAUGCGGCACCCGUACCGUAAACGGACACACGUGGUCGGGUUGAGAAUACUGAGGCGCUCGAGUGACUCACGGUUAAGGAACUAGGCAAAUUGACCCUGUAACUUCGGGAUAAAGGGUCCUCGUCGUAAGGCGAGGCGCAGAGAAUAGGUCCAGGCAACUGUUUAACAAAAACACAUGGCUGUGCUAAAUAGAAAUAUGAAGUAUACAGCCUGACACCUGCCCGGUGCUGGAAGGUUAAGAGGAGAUGUCAUCGCAAGAGAAGCGUUGAAUUGAAGCCCCAGUAAACGGCGGCCGUAACUAUAACGGUCCUAAGGUAGCGAAAUUCCUUGUCGGGUAAGUUC
RNAcentral lists this ribosomal RNA (1959 nucleotides) under Escherichia coli. RNAcentral describes it as "partial 23S ribosomal RNA". It matches the Rfam family "Bacterial large subunit ribosomal RNA", at positions 1 to 1983 of the family's 2925-position model. The record is from RNAcentral. Lineage: Bacteria; Pseudomonadati; Pseudomonadota; Gammaproteobacteria; Enterobacterales; Enterobacteriaceae.